This 377-nucleotide ribosomal RNA is filed under the name uncultured bacterium. Its description in RNAcentral is "bacterial SSU rRNA". It matches the Rfam family "Bacterial small subunit ribosomal RNA", at positions 524 to 898 of the family's 1533-position model. The record is from RNAcentral.
UACGUAGGGCGCAAGCGUUGUCCGGAAUUAUUGGGCGUAAAGAGCUCGUAGGCGGUCUGUCGCGUCGGCUGUGCAAACCCGGGGCUCAACCCCGGGCCUGCAGUCGAUACGGGCGGACUUGAGUUCGGUAGGGGAGACUGGAAUUCCUGGUGUAGCGGUGGAAUGCGCAGAUAUCAGGAGGAACACCGGUGGCGAAGGCGGGUCUCUGGGCCGAUACUGACGCUGAGGAGCGAAAGCGUGGGGAGCAAACAGGAUUAGAUACCCUGGUAGUCCACGCCGUAAACGGUGGGCGCUAGGUGUGGGGUGUUAUUCACACAUUCCGUGCCGAAGCUAACGCAUUAAGCGCCCCGCCUGGGGAGUACGGCCGCAAGGCUAAA